This 88-nucleotide ribosomal RNA is filed under the name Providencia rettgeri. Its description in RNAcentral is "partial 23S ribosomal RNA". It matches the Rfam family "Bacterial large subunit ribosomal RNA", at positions 2838 to 2925 of the family's 2925-position model. Lineage: Bacteria; Pseudomonadati; Pseudomonadota; Gammaproteobacteria; Enterobacterales; Morganellaceae. The record is from RNAcentral. RNAcentral also lists the same sequence under 1 other name.
UUUAAGACUAAGACGUUGAUAGGUUGGGUGUGUAAGCGUAGCGAUACGUUGAGCUAACCAAUACUAAUGAACCGUGAGGCUUAACCUG